AAAACACUAACGAACGCUGGCGGCAUGCCUAACACAUGCAAGUCGAACGGUGGCUUCGGCCAUAGUGGCGCACGGGUGAGUAACGCGUGGGAAACUGCCCAUCAGUGGGGAAUAACAGAGGGAAACUUCUGCUAAUACCGCAUACGCCCUUCGGGGGAAAGAUUUAUCGCUGAUGGAUGUGCCCGCGUCCGAUUAGGUAGUUGGUGGGGUAAAGGCCUACCAAGCCUACGAUCGGUAGCUGGUCUGAGAGGAUGAUCAGCCACACUGGGACUGAGACACGGCCCAG
Molecule: ribosomal RNA, 286 nt
Filed under: uncultured bacterium
Lineage: Bacteria
Description: partial 16S ribosomal RNA
Rfam family: Bacterial small subunit ribosomal RNA
Source: RNAcentral